CCUACGGGAGGCAGCAGUGAGGAAUAUUGGUCAAUGGACGAGAGUCUGAACCAGCCAAGUAGCGUGAAGGAUGACUGCCCUAUGGGUUGUAAACUUCUUUUAUAUGGGAAUAAAAUGUUCCACGUGUGGGAUUUUGUAUGUACCAUAUGAAUAAGGAUCGGCUAACUCCGUGCCAGCAGCCGCGGUAAUACGGAGGAUCCGAGCGUUAUCCGGAUUUAUUGGGUUUAAAGGGAGCGUAGGUGGAUUGUUAAGUCAGUUGUGAAAGUUUGCGGCUCAACCGUAAAAUUGCAGUUGAAACUGGCAGGCUUGAGUACAGUAGAGGUGGGCGGAAUUCGUGGUGUAGCGGUGAAAUGUUUAGAUAUCACGAAGAAGCCCGAUGGAGAAGGCAGCUCACUGGACUGCAAAUGACACGGAGGCUCGAAAGUGUGGGUAUCAAACAGGAUUAGAUACCCGAGUAGUC
Molecule: ribosomal RNA, 460 nt
Filed under: uncultured bacterium
Lineage: Bacteria
Description: partial 16S ribosomal RNA
Rfam family: Bacterial small subunit ribosomal RNA
Source: RNAcentral